Molecule: microRNA precursor, 150 nt
Filed under: Dasypus novemcinctus (nine-banded armadillo)
Lineage: Eukaryota; Metazoa; Chordata; Mammalia; Cingulata; Dasypodidae
Description: miRNA (ENSDNOG00000027758.1)
Source: RNAcentral
AAUACAGAAUGUACAGUUAAAACUGAAUUUCAGAGAAACAACAAAUUUAUUUUAGUAUAUGUGUAUCUCUAAAUAUUUGGGCCAUACUUAUUCUAAAAAUGUAUUUCUUGUUCCUCUGAAAUGCAAAUUUAACUGGGCUUCCUGUAUUCU